Molecule: ribosomal RNA, 501 nt
Filed under: uncultured bacterium
Lineage: Bacteria
Description: bacterial SSU rRNA
Rfam family: Bacterial small subunit ribosomal RNA
Source: RNAcentral
GAACGAACGCUGGCGGCGCGUCUAAGCAUGCAAGUCGAACGGCAAGAGGUAGCAAUACCUCCUAGAGUGGCGGACUGGUGAGUAACACGUGGGUGACAUACCCUUCAGAUGGGGAUAGCUAUUAGAAAUAGUAGAUAAUACCGAAUACGAGCACAGGGGUUAGAGAUCUGUGAGGAAAGGAGCUAAGGCUCCGCUGAAGGAAUGGCCUGCGGCCCAUUAGCUAGUUGGUGAGGUAAGAGCCCACCAAGGCGAUGAUGGGUAUCCGGCCUUAGAGGGUGAACGGACACAUUGGGACUGAGAUACGGCCCAGACUCCUACGGGUGGCAGCAGCUAAGAAUAUUCCGCAAUGGACGAAAGUCUGACGGAGCGACGCCGCGUGGAUGAAGAAGGCCGGAAGGUUGUAAAAUCCUUUUGAAACUGAAGAAUAAGCGUUGUAGGGAAUGACAGCGUGGUGACAGUAGGUUUUGAAUAAGCAACGGCUAAUUACGUGCCAGCAGCCGC